AAUCGAGCGGUUCCAUUCCACCUCCCCUGUCUGGCUCGCCCGGCGCCGAUCCCGCGCGCGCCGGCCUGCACUCCCCGUCUCGCUCCCCCCGACGCCGCCGCUGCGCCGUCCCGCGCGUGCCGCCAUCGCCCUCCCUGUCUCGCUCGCCGACGCUGCCGCUGCGCCAUCCCGCGCGCGCCGGCCUCCCCCUUGCUCUGCCCUCCCACGACGGGCAAAUCGUGAAACCGCCGACGGCUCAUCGGGCCGCCGCAACGGUGCUCGCCGCGGCUGGAUCUCCAUGCUCUCUCCGCCCCUGCAUCUCUCCCUACGUCUUUCAUCCCCGCCUCCACACCGUCAUUCCUGCAGCGUCCGGAGAGCCGCCCGUCGACGUCUCGAGACGGCGCCAGCACCCCCCUGCGUCCAAAUCGCCGGCGGCCCUCCUCGGGUCGAGGCCACCAUCCCAGCCACGUUUGGAUCGGUGCGCGGACCGCUUCGGCUCAACGCCGCCAUCCCAGCCGCGUCCGGAGCUCCGCGCAGCCCUCCUCAGGUUCGACAGCGCAUGGGACAACGCCAUCCCCUCCCCCAUCGCGGAUACGAGGUGGAAUGGGGGAUAACAGCAGGGGAACCUCUCCCUCUGCUGCGAUGAACGCAACCUCCAGGCUUCUGUCUCCUGUCGUCCGCUGUAACUGACUUCACUGGUGAACUGUGAGCAAGUGUACCUAGAUGAUUUGCUGUGUUCUCGCAUUGUAGCUCAAAAAUUCAUCAGUGCUGAUAGACUCAUGAAGCGAUUUUUGUCAGGGAAGAAAAAAAAAAUCAAAACACAGAGGCUGAUGAGGAGGACCUGAGGGCGCCACCCUCGCCUCCCCGUCUCGCUCGCCGACACUGCCGUCCCGCUCGCGCCGCCCUCGCCCUCCCCGCCUCCGUCCCGCUCGUGCGGCCCUCCGCCCUCUCCCUGGAGCAUGACCUCCCGCGGCCGUCCCCGUGCAGCCGAUUGAAGCUCUGCGCCUCAGCCAAUCGCCUCCCAAGACCUCACCUGCAACGCACCGCUGAGCCAUCGGUGGACGCUCCUCAUCGCCCCUCGUGCGCCUCCGGAUCCGCGGUCCUCAGAGAGACAGGUCCUUUGGACGGAAAGUACGAUGUCCUCCCCCAACAGUCAUUCUACAUGGUGGGAGGCAGUGAGAAAGUCAUUUGAAGAAAGUUGCAUCACUAUCGUGCCAAAUAUGUUGCUUAUCAAAAAUGCCUACACACCCUAGCACAAAUAUGUAUGUCUAUGUUGAUAGCAAUCUCUUAUGUUGUAUUUUGGUUGAAUAUUUGAUGUGGGUAUCCAUUUGAUUGUUUGAUUUGCUUCA
Panicum virgatum (switchgrass) is the source of this 1328-nucleotide long non-coding RNA. RefSeq lists it as uncharacterized. The transcript has 4 exons. The record is from RefSeq and is a predicted model, not a curated record. NCBI's taxonomy places the organism in Eukaryota, Viridiplantae, Streptophyta, Magnoliopsida, Poales, Poaceae.